CUGCCAGGCUUGCUGAAAUACUCCCCAUCCACAGAACAACAGCUGCAAAGGCAGCGGCAGGACAAGGCAUCCUUUCUGCCGACUAAUUUGUCUCGAUCUUGACCUGAAGCAAUCAGGAGGGCAGGUAUUUCUUAUUCACCAUUCCCGUGCUAGCCUUCAUCUUU
Molecule: unclassified non-coding RNA, 164 nt
Organism: Cyanistes caeruleus (blue tit)
Lineage: Eukaryota; Metazoa; Chordata; Aves; Passeriformes; Paridae
Source: Ensembl